UUCAGCAAGGCUUUGGGGCCUCGGAACCAAGGGCUGUCAGCGUAUGAAAAAGAGUUCAUGGCAGUCCUCAUGGCCGUCGACCACUGGCAACCGUACUUGCAGACGGGGGAAUUCAUUAUCCGGACGGACCAGCGCAACCUGUCUCAUUUUGAUGACCAACGCCUGACGACACCCUGGCAACGGCGUGCUCUCACCAAACUGUUGGGAUUGCAAUAUCGGAUUGUGUAUCACAAGGGAAUUGAGAACCGGGCCGCAGAUGCUCUGUCUCGCCGAGAAGGCAUGCUUGCAGCUAUGUCGGUGGCUCUUCCGACAUGGCUUGAGGAGAUUGCAGCAGGGCAUCACGCAGAUCCACAAGCUCGGGGAAUCCCAGAGAAGUAUAGUGAUACGUCUCCAACGUAUCUAUAA
This 405-nucleotide ribosomal RNA is filed under the name Triticum aestivum (bread wheat). RNAcentral's name for it is "partial small subunit ribosomal RNA". Lineage: Eukaryota; Viridiplantae; Streptophyta; Magnoliopsida; Poales; Poaceae. The record is from RNAcentral.